AGUGAACGCUGGCGGUAGGCCUAACACAUGCAAGUCGAACGGCAGCACAGUAAGAGCUUGCUCUUACGGGUGGCGAGUGGCGGACGGGUGAGGAAUACAUCGGAAUCUACUUUUUCGUGGGGGAUAACGUAGGGAAACUUACGCUAAUACCGCAUACGACCUACGGGUGGAAGCAGGGGAUCUUCGGACCUUGCGCGAUUGAAUGAGCCGAUGUCGGAUUAGCUAGUUGGCGGGGUAAAGGCCCACCAAGGCGACGAUCCGUAGCUGGUCUGAGAGGAUGAUCAGCCACACUGGAACUGAGACACGGUCCAGACUCCUACGGGAGGCAGCAGUGGGGAAUAUUGGACAAUGGGCGCAAGCCUGAUCCAGCCAUACCGCGUGGGUGAAGAAGGCCUUCGGGUUGUAAAGCCCUUUUGUUGGGAAAGAGAAGCAGCAGGUUAAUACCCCGCUGUUCUGACGGUACCCAAAGAAUAAGCACCGGCUAACUUCGUG
Molecule: ribosomal RNA, 492 nt
Filed under: uncultured bacterium
Lineage: Bacteria
Description: partial 16S ribosomal RNA
Rfam family: Bacterial small subunit ribosomal RNA
Source: RNAcentral